AUUGAACGCUGGCGGCAUGCCUUACACAUGCAAGUCGAACGGCAGCACGGUUGCUUGCACCUGGUGGCGAGUGGCGAACGGGUGAGUAAUACAUCUGAACAGGACCUGUCUUUGGGGAUAGCCCGGCGGAAGCCGGAUUAAUACCGCAACCGAUCUCCGGCUGAGAGCGGGGGCCCUGCAGGCCUCGCCCUUUAGCGUUGGCCGAUGGCUGAUUAGCUAGUUGGAGGGGUAAAGGCCUACCAAGGCGACGAUCAGUAGCUGGUCUGAGAGGACGACCAGCCACACUGGGACUGAGACACGGCCCAGACUCCUACGGGAGGCAGCAGUGGGGAAUUUUGGACAAUGGGCGAAAGCCUGAUCCAGCAAUGCCGCGUGUGUGAAGAAGGCCUUCGGGUUGUAAAGCCCUUUUGUCCGGAAAGAAAACCUUGGCGCUAAUACGGCCGGGGGAUGACGGUACCGGAAGAAUAAGCACCGGCUAACUACGUG
RNAcentral lists this ribosomal RNA (486 nucleotides) under uncultured bacterium. Its description in RNAcentral is "partial 16S ribosomal RNA". It matches the Rfam family "Bacterial small subunit ribosomal RNA", at positions 30 to 507 of the family's 1533-position model. The record is from RNAcentral.